Molecule: ribosomal RNA, 490 nt
Filed under: uncultured bacterium
Lineage: Bacteria
Description: partial 16S ribosomal RNA
Rfam family: Bacterial small subunit ribosomal RNA
Source: RNAcentral
AUUGAACGCUGGCGGCAGGCCUAACACAUGCAAGUCGAACGGUAACAGGAAGCAGCUUGCUGCUUCGCUGACGAGUGGCGGACGGGUGAGUAAUGUCUGGGAAACUGCCUGAUGGAGGGGGAUAACUACUGGAAACGGUAGCUAAUACCGCAUAACGUCGCAAGACCAAAGAGGGGGACCUUAGGGCCUCUUGCCAUCGGAUGUGCCCAGAUGGGAUUAGCUAGUAGGUGGGGUAACGGCUCACCUAGGCGACGAUCCCUCGCUGGUCUGAGAGGAUGACCAGCCACACUGGAACUGGGACACGGUCCAGACGCCUACGGGAGGCAGCAGUGGGGAAUAUUGCACAAUGGGCGCAAGCCUGAUGCAGCCAUGCCGCGUGUAUGAAGAAGGCCUUCGGGUUGUAAAGUACUUUCAGCGGGGAGGAAGGGAGUAAAGUUAAUACCUUUGCUCAUUGACGUUACCCGCAGAAGAAGCACCGGCUAACUCCGUG